This 251-nucleotide ribosomal RNA is filed under the name uncultured prokaryote. Its description in RNAcentral is "partial 16S rRNA". It matches the Rfam family "Bacterial small subunit ribosomal RNA", at positions 525 to 775 of the family's 1533-position model. The record is from RNAcentral.
ACGGAGGUGGCAAGCGUUGUUCGGAAUUACUGGGCGUAAAGGGCGCGUAGGCGGCUUGGCAAGUCAGAUGUGAAAGCCCCAGGCUUAACUUGGGAACUGCAUCUGAAACUGCUUUGCUUGAGUCCUGGAGGGGGCAGUGGAAUUCCCAGUGUAGCGGUGAAAUGCGUAGAUAUUGGGAGGAACACCGGCGGCGAAGGCGGCUGCCUGGACAGUGACUGACGCUGAUGCGCGAAAGCUAGGGGAGCAAACGG